This 253-nucleotide ribosomal RNA is filed under the name uncultured bacterium. Its description in RNAcentral is "partial 16S ribosomal RNA". It matches the Rfam family "Bacterial small subunit ribosomal RNA", at positions 524 to 776 of the family's 1533-position model. The record is from RNAcentral.
UACAGAGAGUGCGAGCGUUAAUCGGAAUUACUGGGCGUAAAGCGCACGUAGGUGGAAUGCUAAGUCGGAUGUGAAAUCCCCGGGCUUAACCUGGGAAUUGCAUUCGAUACUGGUUUUCUAGAGUAUGGUAGAGGGAAGUGGAAUUUCCGGUGUAGCGGUGAAAUGCGUAGAUAUCGGAAGGAACAUCAGUGGCGAAAGCGACUUCCUGGACCAGUACCGACGUUCAGGCACGAAAGCGUGGGGAGCAAACAGG